GUCCACGCCGUAAACGAUGUCGACUAGCCGUUGGGAGCCUUGAGCUCUUAGUGGCGCAGCUAACGCAUUAAGUCGACCGCCUGGGGAGUACGGCCGCAAGGUUAAAACUCAAAUGAAUUGACGGGGGCCCGCACAAGCGGUGGAGCAUGUGGUUUAAUUCGAAGCAACGCGAAGAACCUUACCAGGCCUUGACAUCCAAUGAACUUUCUAGAGAUAGAUUGGUGCCUUCGGGAGCAUUGAGACAGGUGCUGCAUGGCUGUCGU
RNAcentral lists this ribosomal RNA (263 nucleotides) under uncultured bacterium. RNAcentral's name for it is "partial 16S ribosomal RNA". It matches the Rfam family "Bacterial small subunit ribosomal RNA", at positions 793 to 1055 of the family's 1533-position model. The record is from RNAcentral.